This 490-nucleotide ribosomal RNA is filed under the name uncultured bacterium. Its description in RNAcentral is "partial 16S ribosomal RNA". It matches the Rfam family "Bacterial small subunit ribosomal RNA", at positions 30 to 507 of the family's 1533-position model. The record is from RNAcentral.
AUUGAACGCUGGCGGCAGGCCUAACACAUGCAAGUCGAACGGUAACAGGGAUCAGCUUGCUGAUUCGCUGACGAGUGGCGGACGGGUGAGUAAUGUCUGGGAAACUGCCUGAUGGAGGGGGAUAACUACUGGAAACGGUAGCUAAUACCGCAUAACGUCGCAAGACCAAAGAGGGGGACCUUCGUGCCUCUUGCCAUCGGAUGUGCCCAGAUGGGAUUAGCUAGUAGGUGGGGUAACGGCUCACCUAGGCGACGAUCCCUAGCUGGUCUGAGAGGAUGACCAGCCACACUGGAACUGAGACACGGUCCAGACUCCUACGGGAGGCAGCAGUGGGGAAUAUUGCACAAUGGGCGCAAGCCUGAUGCAGCCAUGCCGCGUGUAUGAAGAAGGCCUUCGGGUUGUAAAGUACUUUCAGCGGGGAGGAAGGGAGUAAAGUUAAUACCUUGGCUCAUUGACGUUACCCGCAGAAGAAGCACCGGCUAACUCCGUG